This 497-nucleotide ribosomal RNA is filed under the name uncultured bacterium. RNAcentral describes it as "partial 16S ribosomal RNA". It matches the Rfam family "Bacterial small subunit ribosomal RNA", at positions 28 to 507 of the family's 1533-position model. The record is from RNAcentral.
GAUGAACGCUGGCGGCGUGCCUAAUACAUGCAAGUCGAGCGAACGGACGAGAAGCUUGCUUUUCUGAUGUUAGCGGCGGACGGGUGAGUAACACGUGGAUAACCUACCUAUAAGACUGGGAUAACUUCGGGAAACCGGAGCUAAUACCGGAUAAUAUUUUGAACCGCAUGGUUCAAAAGUGAAAGACGGUCUUGCUGUCACUUAUAGAUGGAUCCGCGCUGCAUUAGCUAGUUGGUAAGGUAACGGCUUACCAAGGCAACGAUGCAUAGCCGACCUGAGAGGGUGUUCGGCCACACUGGAACUGAGACACGGUCCUGACUCCUACGGGAGGCAGCAGUAGGGAAUCUUCCGCAAAGGGCGAAAGCCUGACGGAGCAACGCCGCGUGAGUGAUGAAGGUCUUCGGAUCGUAAAACUCUGUUAUUAGGGAAGAACAUAUGUGUAAGUAACUGUGCACAUCUUGACGGUACCUAAUCAGAAAGCCACGGCUAACUACGUG